GCCCGUGAAGAUAGAAACGCAACGCGCGCUCGUACGCGCCAGAGCCGGUAGGUAGCCCGGCCGUCCCGCAUCUGCGGGGUAAGUAACCCUCCCUCCUUGGGUUGUCCGUUCUUCGCGAGACGACA
RNAcentral lists this non-coding RNA (125 nucleotides) under Olsenella sp. Its description in RNAcentral is "Azaaromatic sequence". It matches the Rfam family "azaaromatic riboswitch aptamer (yjdF RNA)". The record is from RNAcentral. Lineage: Bacteria; Bacillati; Actinomycetota; Coriobacteriia; Coriobacteriales; Atopobiaceae.